CUCAGAUUCUUGUCAACACAUCUGACUGAGUUACAGUGCAUACAAAGUUUAUCCUUUCCAGCCCUAAUCAAGUAGCUGCAUUCUGGAGCAGCUGUUGGAGUGGUACUCUAAACAGGACCAGACCUGCUGUCUGUGAAGCUGACUUUGCAGGGCUGGACUUGGCAGCAGCUAAGCUGGUGGCACUGACUUCACUGAACAAGAACCUGUCAACAGCAGAUUGGAAUGGGACAUGGGCUCUUUGAAGAUGUAAAGCUGUGUAAAAAUUCUAAGUAUUAAUAAGCAAUGUCAGAGGAAAGCAGAGAAACAGAUGGAUGCUAAUGAGAGGAGAGAAGCUGACAUGAUCUUAAAAGG
Molecule: long non-coding RNA, 351 nt
Organism: Mauremys mutica (yellowpond turtle)
Lineage: Eukaryota; Metazoa; Chordata; Testudines; Geoemydidae
Exons: 3
Source: RefSeq, a predicted model, not a curated record